GCCUGUUAUAUAUAUAAAUAGCAAAUACACUUUAUCUAUAGUAUCUGUAUGAUCAUAGUAUACAGAAAAACGCAAAAAAUAAUUGUUCUGUCCCAAGUACUUAUGCAAAUUAUGUUUAAUUUCAAAACAGGCCUAAAGGGCAGCGGAAGUCUUUCUUAUUUAUCAAAAAGUCAGUCCGAUGACAGAAACAAUAUAUGGACGCCUAUAUUUUCGUUUUCCUCCCAAAAUAACCCAAACUGAAAUACUUUAAGCAAGAAUGAUAAAUGCUAGAACACACCCGCAAAAUCGUGGGCAUCCAGAGCGUGGUUGAAAGUAUGUUAAGUGUUGUAGGAUGAAUUUUUGUAAAACCAGAUGCUCCGCAGGGCGUAGCUUUAUACGACCGCAGAGGUUGAACCCUGAACGGUUGGGGCAAGUAUGGACACAACAUUCAAGCUUGAUUCAGCUCUAAAUUUGGAUUGUGAUUAAAUAGUUGACACAGCAUAGGUUUCUGACACAGAAUGAAUGUGUUCUAAUGAACUUAAAAUUUUUGUUUUCUCUUAGAGCAAUUCACUAUGCUGUUGAAUAUUAAUCCUCUCAAAAAAAUGUUUGAAGAAAUUUUCUUUUUAUUUAUGAAAUUUCAAAUGAGAAAAAUUGAACCCAAUUUUUUUAAUCACAUCCCCUUUCCUUAUUCCAAAACUAAUCUCAAUUAAAAUUUCUAAUGGAGUUUGCAACAAUAACUACUCAUUUAAAUACAUCAUAAAAUAUUAAGAUGUAAAAAAACUGC
Molecule: long non-coding RNA, 763 nt
Filed under: Mytilus galloprovincialis (Mediterranean mussel)
Lineage: Eukaryota; Metazoa; Mollusca; Bivalvia; Mytilida; Mytilidae
Source: RNAcentral